UCUAAGUCAUGAAAUACAUAUGUAUAUUUGUAAUAACUUUUUAUUAUUCUCAAUUUGUAAUAUAAGUAUUGGCAUUUAAAAUUUAUAAUGUUGAUAUUGUAAUAAACCUACCUAUUACCUAACAAAUUUAUUUUUGUAGACAGCAUUAAGUUACAUAGUAAUUUUAAUUAAUUAUAAUUGUAACAUAAAACUUAAAAGUAGUUGAAUAUAUUCCUGAUUCAGAUAUAAUUAUACUAUAAUGAGACGUUUUGGUAUCAAUUAAUGUUGUUUAAUUCAUGUUGUCAACUUGAAUAACAGCACUGUGUAUAAUAUUAAUAUGUCAGGUAAAUAAAAAACAGGCAAUAAACAUUCUGCCAAAUAAUGUUACAUCCUUUGCCUAACCUAAUACAUUUACGAAUUAAAACUGGCAAUACUGACGAAAAAAUGUUAAUAAAUUUGUUUUUAUUGUUGCCAGAGUCUCAGAUGAUUGAGAUGAUGUGGUGUGGCCUGCCAAUGUCAUUACAAUAUAAAUAAAAAAUGAUAGAAGACAAAUACAUAUAUGUCUGUACUUACAUAUCUCUUCAUUCCGCUGACUAAGUUAUACCAUCACAUUAUUUUUUAUUUAUAUUGAAAAGUUGUUGAAAGAUUGGCGGUUCAGAUUACAACAAUAAAAUUAGUAAAUCAUUGAUUAUUUUGUGGACUAAUAUUUAGAUCCUCACAUAAAUGUUAAACUUUUUCUGAAAUAUAUUUACCUAAACUUUAAAAACUUUAUAUUACAGAUAAAUAAUUAACAUGAUUAUUGCUUGACUUAUGACAUACUUAGCAUAAAUUACCACAACUGUUGAUAUCCCGAAAUCACAUACCUAUAGGUUAAUUAAGACUAAACCAAGUCAAAGAGAUCCUUGAAGUUUUCUCUAAAACUCAGAAGGACUAGUCUUAAAACUGUUAUUAGUUAUUUUUUUAUGCCUGGACUCGUGGUAAAACAAUAAUUGGUGAUAGCAUUCGCUACUUUCCCAAAUAAAUAUGGUGACGGGUCUUUAAGUUUAACACUAAUAAAUGAAAUGUGUAGGUAAAUACACAAAAACCUGGUUUUGUUAUAGCUGCAGGUUUUUAUUUUUUAUACUAUAGUUAUACUGUAUUUAUAAAUCCUGAGGAAUAUAUAAGAAAUGCCAAUUUGUAUUAUUCUUUAAGCCUGUAAUUUGGCAAGUGUUUAUAAGAUAAUCACUCGGCCAUGUUAGUUACCCUCACAUUUUUAAUGACAUGUAAUGUGAUAAGAAAAAUAUAAUUAUAUAU
Molecule: long non-coding RNA, 1272 nt
Organism: Cydia splendana
Lineage: Eukaryota; Metazoa; Arthropoda; Insecta; Lepidoptera; Tortricidae
Exons: 2
Source: RefSeq, a predicted model, not a curated record